GACGAACGCUGGCGGCGUGCUUAACACAUGCAAGUCGAACGGAAAGGCCUGUCCUUCCUUGUGUUGGACGGGUACUCGAGUGGCGAACGGGUGAGUAACACGUGAGUGAUCUGCCCCCAACUUGGGUAUAAGCCUGGGAAACUGGGUCUAAUUCCCGAUAGGACUGCAGGGUGGUGCCUGUGGUGGAAAACGAUUUUCUAGUGGUUGGGGAUGAGCUCGCGGCCUAUCAGCUUGUUGGUGGGGUAAUGGCCUACCAAGGCGGCGACGGGUAGCCGGCCUGAGAGGGUGGACGGGCACAUUGGGACUGAGAUACGGCCCAGACUCCUACGGGAGGCAGCAGUGGGGAAUAUGGCACAAUGGGCGGAAGCCUGAUGCAGCGACGCCGCGUGGGGGAUGACGGCCUUCGGGUUGUAAACUCCUUUCGACCGCGAGGAAGCCGCCUGGUUGGAAGGGUGGUGACGGUAGUGGUAGAAGAAGCACCGGCUAACUACGUG
This 494-nucleotide ribosomal RNA is filed under the name uncultured bacterium. RNAcentral's name for it is "partial 16S ribosomal RNA". It matches the Rfam family "Bacterial small subunit ribosomal RNA", at positions 28 to 507 of the family's 1533-position model. The record is from RNAcentral.